GGGUGAACGGCAACGAUUGGUGGUGUUGCGGCAGACUGUAAAUCUGUUCCCGUGUGGUAAACAAUAGAGGUUCGAUUCCUCUUUCGCCCA
Molecule: transfer RNA, 90 nt
Filed under: Caudoviricetes sp.
Lineage: Duplodnaviria; Heunggongvirae; Uroviricota; Caudoviricetes
Description: tRNA-Tyr
Rfam family: tRNA
About the family: Transfer RNA (tRNA) molecules are approximately 80 nucleotides in length. Their secondary structure includes four short double-helical elements and three loops (D, anti-codon, and T loops). Further hydrogen bonds mediate the characteristic L-shaped molecular structure. tRNAs have two regions of fundamental functional importance: the anti-codon, which is responsible for specific mRNA codon recognition, and the 3' end, to which the tRNAs corresponding amino acid is attached (by aminoacyl-tRNA synthetases). tRNAs cope with the degeneracy of the genetic code in two manners: having more than one tRNA (with a specific anti-codon) for a particular amino acid; and 'wobble' base-pairing, i.e. permitting non-standard base-pairing at the 3rd anti-codon position.
Source: RNAcentral